RNAcentral lists this long non-coding RNA (898 nucleotides) under Fukomys damarensis (Damara mole-rat). Its description in RNAcentral is "lncRNA (ENSFDAG00000029760.1)". The record is from RNAcentral. Lineage: Eukaryota; Metazoa; Chordata; Mammalia; Rodentia; Bathyergidae.
GUCCCCGCCCCUCACCCUGGGUACAUAUUAAACCCCAUCCCUUGGAAUAAUGAGAAGCCACGCCCCUAGGCCGCCACUGGCCACAGUCCCGCUUGGCGGGCGGAGCCAAUCAGAUCCCACUGGUAUCCUGGUCACACCCAGACUAAUCCGUCCGCUUUUUCUCUCCUUACUCUCAACUCCUUCCAGUUUAACAAUAAUCCACAUCCUUUGGACCAACUCCCAGCCCCUUCCAAAACUAGCAUUUCCCAUUCCCCGGUGGACAGUCACCCUUCACCCUCCAUCUUCCAGGGAUACCCAAACCCUCGGCUCUCAAGGCCCCGCCCCUUACGCCCUUCACGUCACAGGAGCCAGAAGCAGAAGUACGGUUCUGCGCAUGCGCGAGACGCUGUCUUGUCACCCGGCUUGGGCGGCGGCCAUGUCCCCUCGUGUCUCUGUGCCCGUCUUAAGUAAAUUUCUCCCUCAGUUUGUAACCUACUGGUCCUGGCCCCGCCUUAUCCAUUCUCCAGGCCCUGGAAGCGGAGGGCUGGGCUCGGGGGUCCGUGGUCCGCUCCCCUCGCGGACCCUGCUGGCUUCUCUGCGGCGAGGUCCUCUGCGAGCCUUGUCAGCCCGGCUCACGCCCUUCCCGCGGGGGGCGGUUCUCCCGCGGGCUGGGAUUAGAGAACCGCUGUCGUCUUUAGUCCCCAAAUGCAUCCUGUGCUCUGUCUUUGCAGAAAGGGAAAGCAUCUCUGCUUUGGGGCCGGGGGACGCGAAUCUCCACGUCGCUGUCGCUGCCGCUGCGCGGGUCCCUGGAUUUCUGCGCGCUGGGAGACAUGGAGGCAGCAAGAAGAGCUUCUGGGUCACAGAAAAAUAUGAUGCAGGUAAGUGAAAGGUAGUAAUUCUCCAAAAGAAUACUUCCCUU